Molecule: long non-coding RNA, 6472 nt
Organism: Mirounga angustirostris (Northern elephant seal)
Lineage: Eukaryota; Metazoa; Chordata; Mammalia; Carnivora; Phocidae
Exons: 3
Source: RefSeq, a predicted model, not a curated record
GCCGCCCCCUCCUCUGCUGGCUGGACCCAUGCAUGCCCCGCGCCUCUGCAGCCCCCAGCCGUCCUGAACGCCUCCCCGGGGCCAGACACCUCAGGGUGGUCCUGGCCCUGCAGCGGGGCUGGGGAGGGGGCCAAAGCUGGCGGGGAUUGGGAGGGAGCAUCACACAUGCUCAGGGUCCUGCCCUGGGAGAGACCAGCUGACCCUCAUUCCCUGACUUCCUGAGGACUAGGGGUCGGGGAGACGCUCUCCUUCUGGGUCCUGCCGGGAGGCACUCAGAGUGAAGGGCCCCAGGCACCGAGCAACCGCCCCCCGGGGACUUGACACUCCCACGCCACUCUCCAUACUCAGCCUGGACUCAGGCAUGAGGCCCCUGGGCCCCGGGGGCAGGAGGUGGCUGGCCGGCCUGGGCCUGAGGAGUCCACCUCUGUGGGGGCCACCUCCCUACCCUUGCCUGCCGCCCUAGCCCCAGCCCCAGCCCCAGCCUCUGCCCCUGCUUCCUGCCCCUCCCCCUGCCCCACCCCAGGGAAGCAGCCCCUAUCCUUUCCUCAGGACUUCAUUUCGUUGCCCCUUAACUAUCAGGAGGGACGUUAAUGACACCAUAAAACCCAGAGCUCCAUAAAAGCCAUUUCUGCAGAUUCACAGCUGUUUUCGCUCAUUGGAAGGCGGGGCCUGGGCCCCGCCCGCCUCAUCCCUCCCCCGCCCAAACCACGGCCCCUGAUUUGCUGCGAGCUCCACAGUGCCAGGCGUGCAGGGCUGCUUCUCUAACUCACAUCGGCUUUUUAUAGGGUGUGUAAUUAACCCGCUGAUUUUCUUUGUAGCAAGACACCCUGCAGCCCUGGGCCUCCCCAGCCGCCCAGCCGCCCUGACCUCAGGGUCAGGUGGGUCAGGUGCUGUGUUUUACAGCGUUGCACCCGGUGGGUUGUACGCUUCUGGGUGGUGUGACGCCGGAGGGCUGUCUCCCUGGGGGAGCCCUGCCCUCCUCGGGUCCCCGGUCACAGCCAUGGGUGACGGCCCUGCACUGCCCCUUCCUCCCACCGCCCAGGCGGUCUCAGCAUGUCAGCCACUCCUGAAUGGAGCCGCACUCUGGCCAGGAGCUGUGCCAGCACUGGGCUCCAGCUGGGGACACGGCAGGCAGACCUGCCAGUGUGGGAAGUGGCUGGCGAUAACACGCUGUGUGAUGCAGGUCAGGAUCGGGCAGAGUGAGGGGCCAGGACCCCUACCAGCAGGUGAGGUAAGCGGUGUGUGCCAGCCCGAGGGUCCCAGAGGGGCCAGGCUCAGGGGUGCCCCAUUUGGAGCCUGCUUCUGUGUCUGAGAGCCCCUGGGCAGCUGGGGCCUCCCUGCCCUGAGCCUCCUUGCCAGAGCCCCUGGGCAGCUGGGGCCUCCCUGCCCUGAGCCUCCUUGCCAGAGCCCCUGGGCAGCUCUUCUACUUCCAGACUGCGUGUGUUAUUCAUGGUCUUCUCCCCAAAGAGCUCCUUUGCAUGUUUCCUGAAGAACCCGUAAUUAAUGUGCCAGCUACUUGCAACUUAAUCCCCCAUGGCCGCGUCACGGGAGUGACAGGUGGUGGCAAGGACAGGCCCGGCCUGCUGCUGGGGCCAUGGGGGUUCCUGUGUGUGCACACCAGGUGCUGGCAUGAACAGGUGUGUGUGCUGGUCCCUAGCAUGUGCAGGUGUGUGUGCUGGUCCCUGGCAUGAACAGGUGUGUGUGUGCUGGUCCCUGGCAUGUGCAGGUGUGUGUGCUGGUCCCUAGCAUGAGCAGGUGUGUGCAUCAGGCCCUGGCAUGUGCAGGUGUGUGUACUGGUCCCUGGCAUGAACAGGUGUUUGUGCAUCAGGCCCUGGCAUGUGCAGGUGUGUGUGCUGGUCCCUAGAUGAGCAGGUGUGUGCAUUAGGCCCUGGCAUGAGCAGGUGUGUGUGCUGGUCCCUGGAUGAGCAGGUGUGUGCAUUAGGCCCUGGCAUGAGCAGGUGUGUGUGCUGGUCCCUGGAUGAGCAGGUGUGUGCAUCAGGCCCUGGCAUGAACAGGUGUGUGUGCAUCAGGCCCUGGCAUGUGCAGGUGUGUGUGCUGGUCCCUGGCACGAGCAGGUGUGUGCAUCAGGCCCUGGCACGAACAGGUGUGUGUGCAUCAGGCCCUGGCACGUGCAGGUGUGUGUGCUGGUCCCUGGCACGAGCAGGUGUGUGCAUCAGGCCCUGGCAUGAGCAGGUGUGUGUGCAUCAGGCCCUGGCAUGUGCAGGUGUGUGUGCUGGUCCCUGGAUGAGCAGGUGUGUGCAUCAGGCCCUGGCAUGAGCAGGUGUGUGUGCAUCAGGCCCUGGCAUGAACAGGUGUGUGUGCUGGUCCCUGGCAUGAACAGGUGUGUGUGUGCUGGUCCCUGGAUGAGCAGGUGUGUGCAUUAGGCCCUGGCAUGAGCAGGUGUGUGUGCUGGUCCCUGGCAUGAACAGGUGUGUAUGUGCUGGUCCCUGGCAUGUGCAGGUGUGUGUGCUGGUCCCUGGCAUGAGCAGGUGUGUGCAUCAGGCCCUGGCAUGAGCAGGUGUGUGUGCUGGUCCCUGGAUGAGCAAGUGUGUGCAUUAGGCCCUGGCAUGAGCAGGUGUGUGUACUGGUCCCUGGCAUGAGCAGGUGUGUGUGCAUCAGGCCCUGGAAUGUGCAGGUGUGUGUGCUGGUCCCUGGCACGGGCAGGUGUGUGUGCUGAUCCCUGCCAUGUGCAGGUGUGUGUGUGCUGGUCCCUGGAUGAGCAGGUGUGUGCAUUAGGCCCUGGCAUGAGCAGGUGUGUGUGCUGGUCCCUGGCAUGAACAGGUGUGUGUGUGCUGGUCCCUGGCAUGUGCAGGUGUGUGUGCUGGUCCCUAGCAUGAGCAGGUGUGUGCAUCAGGCCCUGGCAUGAGCAGGUGUGUGUGCUGGUCCCUGGAUGAGCAAGUGUGUGCAUUAGGCCCUGGCAUGAGCAGGUGUGUGUACUGGUCCCUGGCAUGAGCAGGUGUGUGUGCAUCAGGCCCUGGAAUGUGCAGGUGUGUGUGCUGGUCCCUGGCACGGGCAGGUGUGUGUGCUGGUCCCUGGCACGGGCAGGUGUGUGUGCUGAUCCCUGCCAUGUGCAGGUGUGUGUGCUGGUCCCUGGAUGAGCAGGUAUGUGCAUUAGGCCCUGGCACGAGCAGGUGUGUGUGCUGGUCCCAGGUGUGUGCCGGUGGGCGCUGCAGGGUGCAGGUUGUUGUCCCGGCCCUCCCAGAAGCAGAGGUGCCUCUGGCACUGCAGGAGCCGGAACCAAGCCAGGUGACCCUCGUCCAGUAGGAGCAGGCAGGGUGGUGUGGCUAGGGCCAGGCCUGGAAAGCACUGUGAGCCCAGCGCCCGGAUCGCUUGUGUGCACUGGGCCCCCAGGGCUGUCUGUGGCUGCCAGCACUGCCCACCCGUGGCGUCAGGGCUGGGCCAGCUGGACUGGGCAGAGGGGGGCUACAACCCUGCCUCUAAAUCCAGGCCCUCACCAUGGGACCCUCGGCCACUUGAGCAUGCACGCUGAGGUCGAGGCCUGGGUGUGUGCCUGCCUGUUCCAGUGGGUAGGCCGUGUGGCUUCCGCCUGCACCCGCCCUGCGUGCAGCUCGUGGGUGGCUCUGUGAGAGCAGAGUGUGUGCCGGGGCCCCUGUGUCUCCACGUGGCUGCGCUGGGCUGGGCACACCUGUGCGUACCGGGGUCCUGUGUUUCUUUCUGGGCCGUCUGCGUGUCCGUCUGGAAGGGUGUGUGCGUGCCACGUGUGGAUCUGCACGUAAGUGACGGGUAUGGCCUGGGUGCCGGGGUGUGACCCGCGGCUUCACGUGCAGGGGUGCAAGUGUGCCCGGGGGCCUUGCUCCUGUGUGUCUAUAAGUGGGCCUCAGGCGCGUGUCCGUCCCCAGUAGUGUCCCUGCCGAGGCGACCCGGGAAGUUGUCACCUGACCUGCUUUAUAGACCGUACUUAACGGGGUUUGGUUCUGUGAGGUUUAUUCCCAGCAAAUCCCCAAUUACUGCUCAUCCUCGACAGCUUGUCCUGAAAGCUUGGUGCAGCCUCCCCGGCACGCAUCACAUGUGCCUUAGUGCCGUGAAGUCAAUUGGAAAGUCAUUUUCUCCAUUCAGCUGCUGGGAACUGGGGAUGUGAUGACCCAUCUCCCUCCGGAGCAGGGCUUGGGGGUUCCUUUAUUAAAGGGAGAUGCGGGUCUGGAUGCCUGCCGGGGCCGGGAGGCCAGCUGGGUGCGGUGCACGGCGUGUUCUGGAAGGGCCUGGGCUCACAGAGGCUCCAGGGCUGUGGACAGGAGCAGAGGCAGAGCAGCAGCGAUGACACUGGCCACCACCUGCAGUGAGCCCGGGAGGCCUCAGGCCCUCCACGUGGACAUUGUCACCCUGGCAAUGACCCCCAGCCUCUAGGUGAGGACACUGAGGCGCAGGGGUCAGAGAACCCACCACGGGUGCCCACUGAGGGGCCUAGCUGAGACCAGGAGCCGGCAGGCCCGCCCGCAGGUCCCCUCCCUUCCUCAGACCGCCCUCCUCCCGCCCCCAAGUGUUUGCUGACCCGAAUGGCCAGUGUCCCUGCUCACCAGCCUCGCCGUGGGGAAGAUGGUGAAUAAAGCCAGUGAGAACCGCUGCUAGCUGGAGGCGGUGAGGGCCGUGGCGGACAGGUGGUAGGGAGGGGCAAGGCCAGGCUGCAGGUGGGCACAGUGUCCGUGGCGGGGCAGGAGUGCCUGCCACAGGGCCACGGAGGGGGGCUGCUGUGGCCAGCAGGGCACCCCUGCCUGUCCCCCGCACCACCGUGCCCAGGCAGCGGGGCCCUGUGCUGGCACACUCCGGCAUCUAGGGAGACCCACGGCCUGGGUAAUGGUUACAGAAGGUUCCUUCACUCCUGUGCCUGGGCCUCCGUUCCCCCGACGUGGGCGUCCCUGUGUGGUCCCUGCUCGGGCGGGUUGGGCCUCCUCACAGCUCAGGGGCCGCACCCAGGGUCCCGAGGGCAGGAGCCAGGAGGAAGCAUUGGUGGUGGCUCCCACACCCUCUCGUCACCAGACCCACCUGGACUCGCGGGGCGGGACUGGGGCCCCUUUUCUCAGCAGGAGGGUGCCCACACUUCGUGAGAUGGGCACAGGCUGCUGUGGGCUACACCCCACCACACAAGCCCCUUACCUGUGGACGAGGGGCAAGCAGGCUUGUAUACCUGAGCAUACAUGCAGCCGGGGGGCCUCGGGCCACCCCAGCUCCCGGGGAUGGUAGCUCCUGGCUCUGCACCUGCUUUCCCACUCCUGGCAGGAGGGUGCAGCCCGCCUUCUGCCCGAGGUAGCGGGAUGGGUACGUGCAGACCACUUGGCAGGUUUGCCCCUUGAGCCAGGGACCUCUGUGGUUAAAGAUGGGGGUUGCAGUAUGAGAUGGGGGUGCACUCGGGUCCCACUGAGGUGUUAGAUGGCAGGAGGGUGGGUGGGCGCGCGCAGUGAAACCCUGGCCAGCCAUACGCCCCCCGGGGGAGGGGGGGCGGGGAGGUGCCUGGGGUGCCCCUCGCUGUCCUGAGACCUGUUGGCUCCCCAGGAAUGGCCCAGCACUCACGGUCCCCAGCCACCCCCCUGAACAGCACAGGCCUUCGCUGACCCAAUCAGCGCUGGCAGACCCCAAAGCAGGCUCUCUCUUUAUGAGGCAGGUUUAUGACAUCCAUUACCCUGCUCCUUGGGCCACUUCUGAGCGGCCGUAAUUUGUACAAAAGCAAUAAAAGCCAGUCAGCCUCCCCCUGGAGUCGGGGAGCUGCGUUCUCCUCACGACCUCUGAGCACGGAGGCAGUCCUUAAGCCAGCUGCUGGGGAAGUGCCGCCGCUCAGAGGAUGGUGGGGACGGCGGGGUGUGUCCUGAGCACAGCGUCCUGACCUGUGAUGCAGCCCCAGCCUGGCCAGGCUUUUGUCAGAUCCCCUGUCCACCCGCCCCUGCACCCACCCUUCACUCGGCCCACCUCCUAGGGCCCUGGGGUGCAGCCAUGGCCCACAUCUGUCCAGCUGGUAGGACACGGGAGUCCUUCCCUUGGGUUGGUAAGGAGCCCUGGGUCCCUGUCCCCCAGCACUUCGGCUGUGGCUGGGCUCAGGGGGUGUCAGCCCCAGCCUGCCCGCGCCACCUCCUCGGGCUGGUUGUAGGGUUGUCAGCAUGGCCCUUGGGUACAUCCCAGAGUGUAUUUGCAGGGAAGCCAACCCUGAUGUGGAGACAGACGAGGGAGUGGCCUAGCAGAGCUGGGCUGGCCCUUUAAUGCUCAUUCAGUAGAUGUGGCACCAGGAGGGGUGUGGCCUGAGGGGCCCCUGCUCCUGAGCUUCCUUCCCGUGGGCCCUGCUGCAGGUGGCCGACUCUCAGCAGCUAGGUUGCAGGUUCUUCCAGAAAGGGGGCAGGGCAGUGAAUUGCUGUGCAGCCCCAGGUAGAGCAGGACAGAACAGAGGAUGAAAAGAUAAACAGGUGACCUGACCUACCCAGUGCUUUAGCUGGUGGCAAGUGCUGAGGAGAAAGAUGCACCAGGCAGA